This 457-nucleotide ribosomal RNA is filed under the name uncultured Glomus. RNAcentral describes it as "SSU rRNA". It matches the Rfam family "Eukaryotic small subunit ribosomal RNA", at positions 569 to 1031 of the family's 1831-position model. Lineage: Eukaryota; Fungi; Glomeromycota; Glomeromycetes; Glomerales; Glomeraceae. The record is from RNAcentral.
AGCAGCCGCGGUAAUUCCAGCUCCAAUAGCGUAUAUUAAAGUUGUUGCAGUUAAAAAGCUCGUAGUUGAAUUUCGGGAUCAAUAUGUUGGUCGUGCCUUGGUACGUACUGGCAUUAUCGAUUCCUACCUUCUGAAGAACCUCGAUGUCAUUAAUUUGGUGUCUUGGGGAAUCAGGACUGUUACUUUGAAAAAAUUAGAGUGUUUAAAGCAGGCUCGCGCUUGAAUACAUUAGCAUGGAAUAAUGAAAUAGGACGUUUGAUUCUAUUUUGUUGGUUUCUAGGAUCGACGUAAUGAUUAAUAGGGAUAGUUGGGGGCAUUAGUAUUCAAUUGUCAGAGGUGAAAUUCUUGGAUUUAUUGAAGACUAACUACUGCGAAAGCAUUUGCCAAGGAUGUUUUCAUUAAUCAAGAACGAAAGUUAGGGGAUCGAAGACGAUCAGAUACCGUCGUAGUCUUAACC